GAAUCUGCUGGGCGAUCUGGCUGCGACAUCUGUCACCCCAUUGAUCGCCAGGGUUGAUUCGGCUGAUCUGGCUGGCUAGGUGGGUGUCCCCUUCCUCCCUCACCGCUCCAUGUGCGUCCCUCCCGAAGCUGCGUGCUCGGUGGAAGAGGACAACGUCCCAGGUAUAGAAGGAGUGUAUUGAAGUCUCCAGUCUUCGGCCCCGAGUAUACGAUAGCUGCGCUCCCCUGCUAGAACCUCUAAACAUGCUGGAUUUUGAAUAUGGAGUUAUGCCAUUUGUAGGUCCUUCGUCAUGAUUCUGU
Anolis carolinensis (green anole) is the source of this 299-nucleotide non-coding RNA. It matches the Rfam family "7SK RNA". Rfam says of the family: 7SK was discovered as an abundant small nuclear RNA in the mid-70s but a possible function has only recently been suggested. Two independent studies have found that 7SK RNA binds the CDK9/cyclin T complex (known as elongation factor P-TEFb). NCBI's taxonomy places the organism in Eukaryota, Metazoa, Chordata, Lepidosauria, Squamata, Anolidae. The record is from Rfam.